Amphimedon queenslandica is the source of this 432-nucleotide long non-coding RNA. RefSeq lists it as uncharacterized. Lineage: Eukaryota; Metazoa; Porifera; Demospongiae; Haplosclerida; Niphatidae. The transcript is spliced from 2 exons. The record is from RefSeq and is a predicted model, not a curated record.
GCACCUAAAAAACUAAACACUAAACCCUAAACCCUAAACCCUCACAGCCUACUUGAGUUUUUGUACAUUUUAUGAAAAUAUAGAAUGAGAUCUUGUGAAAAAGAAGUGUCCUUUGCCAGCCUCAUUCUCCCAUUACAGCACUUAGGACAGUCAUGAUUAGUAAAGUCUCCUAGCACCCCUUUCCUUCACAGCCAUUUGCAUAUCUCUUCUUUUGGCUUGCUGCAUAUAGCAUAAAUGUAAUCUAGUACAGUUCCAGUGGUUAGAAUGGAAAUGGUCGCCAUUUUGCCUUUGGAUCACGUGAUGAUGAUUGGCAUCUGAUGCUUGUGAUGCAAGCACAGUAAAAUGGCGAAUUUGCUUGGGGCCGGUAAAGUGUAAUCCACCCCCUGUUACAGCUAAGAGAAGGAACAACAUAUAACAGAAACAACAGGACAG